RNAcentral lists this long non-coding RNA (201 nucleotides) under Nicotiana benthamiana. RNAcentral's name for it is "long non-coding RNA (NBEN_LNC040867)". The record is from RNAcentral. Lineage: Eukaryota; Viridiplantae; Streptophyta; Magnoliopsida; Solanales; Solanaceae.
UUUACAAAGGGAAAGUCCUCUUUAUAUAUUAAGGGAUCUUCCUCGAAAUAAUCAAAGCAAAGUACAAGGGGUUGGUAGUCUCAGUGUACGGGAAAGUCAGAAUUUUAAGUGACGUCGUCUCGAGUUAUGUCGCUUGGUCCGUCCGCUUGCUGGGGCCGACCUUAUUCGAGUCAGCCUCGAUUAGGCCGUUCUCUACGUCGU